GAUGAAGAACGCAGCGAAAUGCGAUAAGUAGUGUGAAUUGCAGAAUUCAGUGAAUCAUCGAAUCUUUGAACGCACAUUGCGCCCCUCGGUAUUCCGUGGGGCAUGCCUGUUCGAGCGUCAUUUAACCCCUCAAGCCUAGCUUGGUAUUGGGUGCUUGUCCCGCCUCUCGCGCAGCGACUCACCUCAAAGUCAUUGGCAGCCCGCAUCUCGCCGGCCGUGAGCGCAGCACAGACGCGCUCUUGGCAACGACGGAUCGGCUCUCCAAAAGCUUAUUUCAACCACUGACCUCGGAUCAGGUAGGGAUACCCGCUGAACUUAAGCAUAUCAAUAAGCGGAGGA
RNAcentral lists this unclassified non-coding RNA (339 nucleotides) under soil metagenome. Its description in RNAcentral is "partial contains 5.8S ribosomal RNA, internal transcribed spacer 2, and large subunit ribosomal RNA". The stretch from base 1 to 120 matches the Rfam family "5.8S ribosomal RNA", at positions 35 to 154 of the family's 154-position model. The record is from RNAcentral.